CCAGAGAACUACGAGCACAAACGCUUAAAACUCUAAGGACUUGGCGGUGCCCUAAACCCACCUAGAGGAGCCUGUUCUGUAAUCGAUGAUCCACGAUCAACCCUACCGUCCCUUGCCAAGCACAGCCUACAUACCGCCGUCGCCAGCCCACCUCGAAUGAGAGCACAACAGUGGGCGCAACAGCACCCCGCUAAUAAGACAGGUCAAGGUAUAGCCUAUGGGGCGGAAGAAAUGGGCUACAUUCCCUAUUCAUAGGGCAGCACGGAAAGAAGUAUGAAACUACUUCUGGAAGGAGGAUUUAGCAGUAAAGCGGGAUAAUAAAGCCCGCUUUAAGCCGGCCCUAGGGCACGUACACACCGCCCGUCACC
This 368-nucleotide ribosomal RNA is filed under the name Anas crecca (Common teal). RNAcentral describes it as "partial small subunit ribosomal RNA". It matches the Rfam family "Bacterial small subunit ribosomal RNA", at positions 872 to 1401 of the family's 1533-position model. Lineage: Eukaryota; Metazoa; Chordata; Aves; Anseriformes; Anatidae. The record is from RNAcentral.